Non-coding RNA from Vombatus ursinus (common wombat), 522 nucleotides. The record is from the annotation of a RefSeq genome assembly. Lineage: Eukaryota; Metazoa; Chordata; Mammalia; Diprotodontia; Vombatidae.
ACCACUAUGGAUACCAUGCUCUUCUGGUGUGUGGCCAUUUGUCUCCUGGGGGUAGAUACUGGAGUCUUCCAGACCCCAAGAAGCCUGCUCACAGAGAGGAAAAAAAAUGUGGUGCUGAAAUGUCACCCAAUCCAAGGACAUAACUACGUUUACUGGUAUCAACAGCUCCCAGGACAAGAAUUGACAUUGCUGGAAUAUCGUGACAAAAACCAAGUCAUUCAUAGUUCAGGAAUGUCCAAACCCCUCUUCUCUGUUGAGUGGACCAGUGGCUCACCGUGCAGCCUGAAAAUCCAACCUGUGGAAUUAGAGGAUUCAGCCCUAUAUUUCUGUGCCAGCAGCUUAACCACAGUGCUGCAAACUAAUCCCUCUCUAUGCAUAAAUCUUCCCCAGCUCAGGAAACAGAAAACCAUGGACUGGAUGGUGGGUGUUGACAGAGAUAGUGACAUCAAAGAUAGGUCAUGCCUAUUGAGACCAGGUGAUCUCAGAUCGCUACCUCCAGAUACCACAGCCUUGAGCUGGUGA